AUGGAAAAAUGUGGGAUCCAUCAAUACCGUAUUAUGGAUAUUUUGUGCUUUCAAUACGGUGGAUUUGAUAAGGUUGGAUGCAUAAAGAGGGACGUUUACAAUUUCUGCCAUGCUAAUAAGUAG
Molecule: ribosomal RNA, 123 nt
Filed under: Triticum aestivum (bread wheat)
Lineage: Eukaryota; Viridiplantae; Streptophyta; Magnoliopsida; Poales; Poaceae
Description: partial small subunit ribosomal RNA
Source: RNAcentral